UACGUAGGGUGCGAGCGUUAAUCGGAAUUACUGGGCGUAAAGCGUGCGCAGGCGGUUUUGUAAGCCAGAUGUGAAAUCCCCGGGCUUAACCUGGGAAUGGCAUUUGGGACUGCAAGGCUGGAGUGUGGCAGAGGAGACUGGAAUUCCUGGUGUAGCAGUGAAAUGCGUAGAUAUCAGGAGGAAUACCGAUGGCAAAGGCAGGUCUCUGGGCUGACACUGACGCUCAUGCACGAAAGCGUGGGGAGCAAACAGG
RNAcentral lists this ribosomal RNA (253 nucleotides) under uncultured bacterium. RNAcentral's name for it is "partial 16S ribosomal RNA". It matches the Rfam family "Bacterial small subunit ribosomal RNA", at positions 524 to 776 of the family's 1533-position model. The record is from RNAcentral.